CCUACGGGAGGCUGCAGUGAGGAAUAUUGGUCAAUGGGCGCGAGCCUGAACCAGCCAAGUCGCGUGAGGGAAGACGGUCCUAUGGAUUGUAAACCUCUUUUGUCGGGGAGCAAAAGACGCCACGCGUGGCGUUCCGAGAGUACCCGAAGAAAAAGCAUCGGCUAACUCCGUGCCAGCAGCCGCGGUAAUACGGAGGAUGCGAGCGUUAUCCGGAUUUAUUGGGUUUAAAGGGUGCGUAGGCUGUGAGGUAAGUCAGCGGUGAAAUGCCCCCGCUCAACGGGGUGAAGUGCCAUUGAUACUGCCUUGCUGGAAUGCGGAUGCCGUGGGAGGAAUGUGUGGUGUAGCGGUGAAAUGCAUAGAUAUCACACAGAACACCGAUUGCGAAGGCAUCUCACGAAUCCGCGAUUGACGCUGAUGCACGAAAGCGUGGGUAUCAAACAGGAUUAGAUACCCUGGUAGUC
Molecule: ribosomal RNA, 461 nt
Filed under: uncultured bacterium
Lineage: Bacteria
Description: partial 16S ribosomal RNA
Rfam family: Bacterial small subunit ribosomal RNA
Source: RNAcentral